This is a small nuclear RNA of Molossus molossus (Pallas's mastiff bat), 194 nucleotides long. RefSeq annotates it as U2 spliceosomal RNA. NCBI's taxonomy places the organism in Eukaryota, Metazoa, Chordata, Mammalia, Chiroptera, Molossidae. The transcript has a single exon. The record is from RefSeq and is a predicted model, not a curated record.
ACUGCUGCUCAGUCUUUUGGCUAAGAUCAAGUGUAGUAUCUGUUCUUAUCAGUUUAAUAUCUGAUAUAUCCUCUAUCUGAGGACAAUGUAGUUUUUUCUUAAAAAGGGCAAGAGCUUUCAACAGAUAGUUUCGUUUACAAAAGGAGUGAAGCAAAUGGUAAAUAAGCAUACGAAUGUUUAACAUCAUUAGCCAA